AGCUGGCAGAAGAGUCCCAAAUAGGACGAAAUGCUCAUCCUGGCU
Molecule: non-coding RNA, 45 nt
Filed under: Trichobilharzia regenti
Lineage: Eukaryota; Metazoa; Platyhelminthes; Trematoda; Strigeidida; Schistosomatidae
Source: RNAcentral